Molecule: transfer RNA, 90 nt
Filed under: Hyphomonas sp.
Lineage: Bacteria; Pseudomonadati; Pseudomonadota; Alphaproteobacteria; Hyphomonadales; Hyphomonadaceae
Also listed under: 12 other names
Description: tRNA-Ser
Rfam family: tRNA
About the family: Transfer RNA (tRNA) molecules are approximately 80 nucleotides in length.
Source: RNAcentral
GGAGGAAUGGCAGAGUGGUUGAAUGCGGCGGUCUUGAAAACCGUUGAGCCUUCGCGGGCUCCGGGGGUUCGAAUCCCUCUUCCUCCGCCA